This 517-nucleotide ribosomal RNA is filed under the name uncultured Acaulospora. RNAcentral describes it as "SSU rRNA". It matches the Rfam family "Eukaryotic small subunit ribosomal RNA", at positions 569 to 1085 of the family's 1831-position model. Lineage: Eukaryota; Fungi; Glomeromycota; Glomeromycetes; Diversisporales; Acaulosporaceae. The record is from RNAcentral.
AGCAGCCGCGGUAAUUCCAGCUCCAAUAGCGUAUAUUAAAGUUGUUGCAGUUAAAAAGCUCGUAGUUGAAUUUCGGAAUCUGUCCAUCGGUCGGGCUUCACUGUCCGUACUGGUGUGGUGGGUUCUUACCUUCUGAAUAACCAGCAUGCCAUUCACUUGGUGCGUUGGGGAAGCAGGACUAUUACCUUGAAAAAAUUAGAGUGCUCAAAGCAGGCUAGUGCCUGAAUACAUUAGCAUGGAAUAAUAAAAUAGGACGGCAUGGUUCUAUUUUGUUGGUUUCUAGGAUCACCGUAAUGAUUAAUAGGGAUAGUUGGGGGCAUUAGUAUUCAAUUGUCAGAGGUGAAAUUCUUGGAUUUAUUGAAGACUAACUUCUGCGAAAGCAUUUGCCAAGGAUGUUUUCAUUAAUCAAGAACGAAAGUUAGGGGAUCGAAGACGAUCAGAUACCGUCGUAGUCUUAACCAUAAACUAUGCCGACUAGGGAUCGGACGAUGUUAAUUUUUUAAUGACUCGUUCGGCG